RNAcentral lists this ribosomal RNA (497 nucleotides) under uncultured bacterium. RNAcentral's name for it is "partial 16S ribosomal RNA". It matches the Rfam family "Bacterial small subunit ribosomal RNA", at positions 28 to 507 of the family's 1533-position model. The record is from RNAcentral.
GAUGAACGCUGGCGGCGUGCCUAAUACAUGCAAGUCGAGCGAACAGACGAGGAGCUUUUGCCCCUGACGUUAGCGGCGGACGGGUGAGUAACACGUGGAUAACCUUCCUCUAAGACUUGGAGAAUUUCGGGAAACAGGUGCUAAUACUGGCUAAUAUAUUGAACGGCAGGAUUCAAUAGUGAUACACGGUUUUGCUGACAGUAAGAGCUGGUUCCGCGCCGCAUUAGCUAGUUGGUAAGGUAACGGCUUACCAAGGCAACGAUGCGUAGCCGACCUGAGAGGGUGAUCGGCCACACUGGAACUGAGACACGGUCCAGACUCCUACGGGAGGCAGCAGUAGGGAAUCUUGCGCAAUGGGCGAAAGCCUGACGCAGCCACGCCGCGUGAGUGAUGAAGGUCUUCGGGUCGUAAAACUCUGUUAUUAGGGAAGAACAACAGUGUAAGUAAAUAUGCACGUCCUGACGGUACCUAAACAGAAAGCACCGGCUAACUACGUG